Molecule: transfer RNA, 69 nt
Filed under: Ictidomys tridecemlineatus (thirteen-lined ground squirrel)
Lineage: Eukaryota; Metazoa; Chordata; Mammalia; Rodentia; Sciuridae
Description: Spermophilus tridecemlineatus (thirteen-lined ground squirrel) tRNA
Rfam family: tRNA
About the family: Transfer RNA (tRNA) molecules are approximately 80 nucleotides in length. Their secondary structure includes four short double-helical elements and three loops (D, anti-codon, and T loops).
Source: Rfam by way of RNAcentral
GGGACUGUAGCUCAGUGGUAGAGCACCAGCCUCACAAGUAUGAGGCACUGGGUUUGAUCCUCAGCACCA